Molecule: ribosomal RNA, 253 nt
Filed under: uncultured bacterium
Lineage: Bacteria
Description: partial 16S ribosomal RNA
Rfam family: Bacterial small subunit ribosomal RNA
Source: RNAcentral
UACAGAGGGUGCGAGCGUUGUUCGGAAUUAUUGGGCGUAAAGGGCGCGUAGGCGGUGCGGUAAGUCACCUGUGAAAUCUCCUGGCUCAACUGGGAGCUUGCAGGCGAAACUGCCGUGCUGGAGUGUGGGAGAGGUGCGUGGAAUUCCUGGUGUAGCGAUGAAAUGCGUAGAUAUCAGGAGGAACACCUGUGGCGAAAGCGGCGCACUGGACCACAACUGACGCUGAGGCGCGAAAGCUAGGGGAGCAAACAGG